This 67-nucleotide small RNA is filed under the name Salix viminalis (osier). Lineage: Eukaryota; Viridiplantae; Streptophyta; Magnoliopsida; Malpighiales; Salicaceae. The record is from RNAcentral.
GGAUCAUAGGAAGAAUUUCUUGGAGCCUCACUCAUGAGAUGGUUAUUUAAAUACCCUAUAGUUAAUU